This 493-nucleotide ribosomal RNA is filed under the name uncultured bacterium. RNAcentral's name for it is "partial 16S ribosomal RNA". It matches the Rfam family "Bacterial small subunit ribosomal RNA", at positions 28 to 507 of the family's 1533-position model. The record is from RNAcentral.
GACGAACGCUGGCGGCGUGCUUAACACAUGCAAGUCGAACGGUGAAGCGCCUUCCUUUUUGGUGGGUGUGGAUGAGUGGCGAACGGGUGAGUAACACGUGAGUAACCUGCCCCCUUCUUCUGGAUAACCGCAUGAAAGUGUGGCUAAUACGGGAUAUUCUGGGUCUGUCGCAUGAUGGGUCUGGGAAAGAUAUUGUUUCGGUGGGGGAUGGGCUCGCGGCCUAUCAGCUUGUUGGUGGGGUGAUGGCCUACCAAGGCGGUGACGGGUAGCCGGCCUGAGAGGGGGGCGGGCCACAGGGGGACAGGGACACGGCGCGAACCCCUACGGGGGGAGGCGGGGGGGAAUAUUGCAAGGGGGGCGCAAGCCUGAUGCGGCGCGGCCGGGGGGGGGAGGGGGCCCUGGGGGGUGGAAUCCUUUUGCGCAGGGAAAGGGGGCCUGCCUGGUUUGUGGGGGGGUGGAGGGAAGGGGUAAAAGAGGCCCGGCUAACCUAGUG